RNAcentral lists this ribosomal RNA (470 nucleotides) under uncultured soil bacterium. RNAcentral's name for it is "bacterial SSU rRNA". It matches the Rfam family "Bacterial small subunit ribosomal RNA", at positions 27 to 481 of the family's 1533-position model. The record is from RNAcentral.
GGAUUGAACGCUAGCGGGAUGCUUUACACAUGCAAGUCGAACGGCAGCGCGGACUUCGGUCUGGCGGCGAGUGGCGAACGGGUGAGUAAUAUAUCGGAACGUGCCCAGUAGCGGGGGAUAACUACGCGAAAGCGUGGCUAAUACCGCAUACGCCCUACGGGGGAAAGGGGGGGAUCGCAAGACCUCUCACUAUUGGAGCGGCCGAUAUCAGAUUAGCUAGUUGGUGAGGUAAAGGCUCACCAAGGCGACGAUCCGUAGCUGGUUUGAGAGGACGACCAGCCACACUGGGACUGACGACACGGCCCAGACCUCCGUACGGGAGGCAGGCAGUGGGAAUUUGGACAAGUGGGGGAAACCCUGAAUCCGAGCCAUCCCGCGUGUGCGAUGAAGGCCUUCGGUUGUAAAGUCUACGUUUGGACAGGAAGAACGGACACUCUUUAAGUACGGUUGCGACGUCGUAACGGUACCUA